This 457-nucleotide ribosomal RNA is filed under the name uncultured bacterium. RNAcentral describes it as "bacterial SSU rRNA". It matches the Rfam family "Bacterial small subunit ribosomal RNA", at positions 340 to 786 of the family's 1533-position model. The record is from RNAcentral.
UACGGAAGGCAGCAGUAGGGAAUCUUCCGCAAUGGACGAAAGUCUGACGGAGCAACGCCGCGUGAACGAUGAAGGCUUUCGGGUCGUAAAGUUCUGUUGUUAGGGAAGAACAAGUACCAGAGUAACUGCUGGUACCUUGACGGUACCUAACCAGAAAGCCACGGCUAACUACGUGCCAGCAGCCGCGGUAAUACGUAGGUGGCAAGCGUUGUCCGGAAUUAUUGGGCGUAAAGCGCGCGCAGGUGGUCCUUUUAAGUCUGAUGUGAAAGCCCACGGCUCAACCGUGGAGGGUCAUUGGAAACUGGGGGACUUGAGUGCAGAAGAGGAAAGUGGAAUUCCACGUGUAGCGGUGAAAUGCGUAGAGAUGUGGAGGAACACCAGUGGCGAAGGCGACUUUUCUGGUCUGUAACUGACACUGAGGCGCGAAAGCGUGGGGAGCGAACAGGGAUUAGAUACC